RNAcentral lists this small nuclear RNA (22 nucleotides) under Arabidopsis thaliana (thale cress). RNAcentral describes it as "snRNA_13539". Lineage: Eukaryota; Viridiplantae; Streptophyta; Magnoliopsida; Brassicales; Brassicaceae. The record is from RNAcentral.
GUGAGAUCCCUCCAAAAAUAGG